Molecule: ribosomal RNA, 544 nt
Filed under: uncultured bacterium
Lineage: Bacteria
Description: bacterial SSU rRNA
Rfam family: Bacterial small subunit ribosomal RNA
Source: RNAcentral
CUGCCUACUAGAGGGGAAUAACAGUGAGAAAUCAUUGCUAAUACCGCAUAUGCCAUGAACAUCACAUGAUGAAAAUGGGAAAAGAGUAAUCUGCUAGUAGAUGGGCUCGCGUCUGAUUAGAUAGUUGGCGGGGUAACGGCCUACCAAGUCGACGAUCAGUAGCCGGACUGAGAGGUUGAACGGCCACAUUGGGACUGAGAUACGGCCCAGACUCCUACGGGAGGCAGCAGUCGGGAAUAUUGCGCAAUGGAGGAAACUCUGACGCAGUGACGCCGCGUAUAGGAAGAAGGUUUUCGGAUUGUAAACUAUUGUCGUUAGGGAAGAUACAAGACAGUACCUAAGGAGGAAGCUCCGGCUAACUACGUGCCAGCAGCCGCGGUAAUACGUAGGGAGCAAGCGUUAUCCGGAUUUAUUGGGUGUAAAGGGUGCGUAGACGGGACAACAAGUUAGUUGUGAAAUCCCUCGGCUUAACUGAGGAACUGCAACUAAAACUAUUGUUCUUGAGUGUUGGAGAGGAAAGUGGAAUUCCUAGUGUAGCGGUGAA